Molecule: ribosomal RNA, 486 nt
Filed under: uncultured Acidobacteriota bacterium
Lineage: Bacteria; Pseudomonadati; Acidobacteriota
Description: bacterial SSU rRNA
Rfam family: Bacterial small subunit ribosomal RNA
Source: RNAcentral
CGACGCCGCGUGAGUGAUGAAGCCCUUCGGGGUGUAAAGCUCUUUCGACAGGAACGAUAAUGACGGUACCUGAAGAAGAAGCUGCGGCUAACUACGUGCCAGCAGCCGCGGUAAUACGUAGGCAGCAAGCGUUGUUCGGAAUUACUGGGCGUAAAGAGUGUGUAGGCGGUGCUCUAAGUUUGGUGUGAAAUCUCCCGGCUCAACCGGGAGGCUGCAUCGAAUACUGGAAUGCUAGAGGGUGGGAGAGGUAAGCGGAAUUCCUGGUGUAGCGGUGAAAUGCGUAGAUAUCAGGAGGAACACCUGUGGUGUAGACAGCUUACUGGACCACUUCUGACGCUGAGACACGAAAGCGUGGGUAGCAAACAGGAUUAGAUACCCUGGUAGUCCACGCCCUAAACGAUGCAUACUUGGUGUGGGCCAUUCAUUUGGUCAGUGCCGGAGCUAACGCGUUAAGUAUGCCGCCUGGGGAGUACGGUCGCAAGGCUG